RNAcentral lists this unclassified non-coding RNA (240 nucleotides) under soil metagenome. RNAcentral's name for it is "partial contains 5.8S ribosomal RNA, internal transcribed spacer 2, and large subunit ribosomal RNA". The record is from RNAcentral.
AACCUUAUGGACCUGCGGGCGUAUACCUGCGGAGGGAUCAUUAAAAAGAGUGUGUACCCCCCUGUAAAAUGGGUGGGUUACCUCCCGUCCUUUGUUGACCUCUUAGGAGGUUAUUUUGAACUUUUCUGCUUCGGUGGGGUUAAACCUACCGGAACACCCUCAAAUUCUGAUCAUUUAAAAAUUGUUCAGUCCGAUUUUUGUUAAUAAAAACAAAAAACUUUUAGCAAUGGAUCUCAGAUC